This 372-nucleotide ribosomal RNA is filed under the name uncultured organism. Its description in RNAcentral is "bacterial SSU rRNA". It matches the Rfam family "Bacterial small subunit ribosomal RNA", at positions 526 to 896 of the family's 1533-position model. The record is from RNAcentral.
CGUAGGGUGCGAGCGUUAAUCGGAAUUACUGGGCGUAAAGUGUGCGCAGGCGACCGCGCAAGUCGAGUGUGAAAGCCCCGGGCUUAACUUGGGAAUUGCGCUCGAAACUACGUGGCUAGAGUGUGGCAGAGGGAGGUGGAAUUCCACGUGUAGCGGUGAAAUGCGUAGAGAUGUGGAGGAACACCGAUGGCGAAGGCAGCCUCCUGGGCCAACACUGACGCUCAUGCACGAAAGCGUGGGGAGCAAACAGGAUUAGAUACCCUGGUAGUCCACGCCCUAAACGAUGAUGACUAGUUGUUGGGGGAGUUAAAUCCCUUAGUAACGCAGCUAACGCGUGAAGUCAUCCGCCUGGGGAGUACGGUCGCAAGAUUA